UACGGAGGAUGCGAGCGUUAUCCGGAUUUAUUGGGUUUAAAGGGUGCGCAGGCGGAUUUUUAAGUCAGCUGUGAAAGUCCGCGGCUCAACCGUGGAAUUGCAGUUGAAACUGGAGGCCUUGAGUGCACACAGGGGUGCCGGAAUUCAUGGUGUAGCGGUGAAAUGCUUAGAUAUCAUGAAGAACUCCGAUUGCGAAGGCAGCAUACCGGUGCACAACUGACGCUCAGGCACGAAAGCGUGGGUAUCGAACAGG
This 253-nucleotide ribosomal RNA is filed under the name uncultured Prevotella sp. RNAcentral's name for it is "partial 16S ribosomal RNA". It matches the Rfam family "Bacterial small subunit ribosomal RNA", at positions 524 to 776 of the family's 1533-position model. Lineage: Bacteria; Pseudomonadati; Bacteroidota; Bacteroidia; Bacteroidales; Prevotellaceae. The record is from RNAcentral.